Molecule: ribosomal RNA, 1567 nt
Filed under: Ozimops planiceps
Lineage: Eukaryota; Metazoa; Chordata; Mammalia; Chiroptera; Molossidae
Description: 16S ribosomal RNA
Rfam family: Bacterial large subunit ribosomal RNA
Source: RNAcentral
ACUAAUUUUAGUCCAACUAAACACUAAACAAAAUUAACCCAAACUAAUAAAACAAAACAUUUAAUAACCUUAAAAGUAUAGGCGAUAGAAAUUUAAAUUGGCACUAUAGAGAAAGUACCGCAAGGGAACUAUGAAAGAGUAAAUAAAAGUAUAAAAAAGCAAAGAUUACACCUUCUACCUUUUGCAUAAUGAUUUAACUAGACUAAACUAGCAAAAAGAAUUAAAGUCAGCAUACCCGAAACCAGACGAGCUACCCACGAACAGCCCAAAGAGCGAACUCAUCUAUGUGGCAAAAUAGUGAGAAGAUUCGUGGGUAGAGGUGAUAAGCCUACCGAGCCUGGUGAUAGCUGGUUAUCCAGAAACAGAAUUUAAGUUCUAAUUUAAAUUUACCAAAAAAAUACACAAUUUAAAUGUAAAUUUAAAAAAUAAUCUAAAAGGGUACAGCCUUUUAGAUAUAGGAAACAACCUUAAACAGAGAGUAAAAACUAAAUACACCAUAGUUGGCCUAAAAGCAGCCAUCAAUUAAGAAAGCGUUCAAGCUCAACAACAUAAUAAAAUCUUAAUUCCAAUAAUAAUAAUUUAACUCCUAAAGUCAUACUGGAUUAUUCUAUUUACAUAUAGAAGAAAUACUGUUAAUAUGAGUAAUAAGAAUUUAAUUCUCCCUGCAUAAGUGUAUAUCAGAACGAAUAAAUCGCUGAUAGUUAACAGAUCAUAAUUUAAAUAACAAAUGAAACUCUUAUCUAACAUACUGUUAGCCCAACACAGGAAUGCUUCACGGGAAAGAUUAAAAAAAGUAAAAGGAACUCGGCAAACACAAACCCCGCCUGUUUACCAAAAACAUCACCUCUAGCAUUAAUAGUAUUAGAGGCACUGCCUGCCCAGUGACAUUAGUUUAACGGCCGCGGUAUCCUGACCGUGCAAAGGUAGCAUAAUCACUUGUUCUCUAAAUAAGGACUAGUAUGAAUGGCCACACGAGGGUUUUACUGUCUCUUACUUUCAAUCAAUGAAAUUGACCUUCCCGUGAAGAGGCGGGAAUAAGCAAAUAAGACGAGAAGACCCUAUGGAGCUUUAAUUAAUUAAUUUACAAGAAAUAGCACAAACCUUCAAGGUAUAAAAUAACUUCUUAUAUAAAUUAACAAUUUAGGUUGGGGUGACCUCGGAAUAUAAAGUAACUUCCGAGUGAUUUUAAGCCUAGACUUAUCAGUCAAAGCAACAAUAUCAUUUAUUGAUCCAAAACUUUUGAUCAACGGAACAAGUUACCCUAGGGAUAACAGCGCAAUCCUAUUUGAGAGUCCCUAUCGACAAUAGGGUUUACGACCUCGAUGUUGGAUCAGGACAUCCUAAUGGUGCAACCGCUAUUAAUGGUUCGUUUGUUCAACGAUUAAAGUCCUACGUGAUCUGAGUUCAGACCGGAGUAAUCCAGGUCGGUUUCUAUCUAUUAUAUAUUUCUCCCAGUACGAAAGGACAAGAGAAAUAAGGCCUACUUCAACAAAGCGCCUUAAUACCUAAUAGAUGAUAUAAUCUUAAUCUAUAAACAUAUAACCAAAUUAACCCAAAAACAGGGUUU